CCUACGGGAGGCAGCAGUGAGGAAUAUUGGUCAAUGGGCGCGAGCCUGAACCAGCCAAGUAGCGUGAGGGAAGACUGCCCUACGGGUUGUAAACUUCUUUUAUAAAGGAAUAAAGUGGGGCACGUGUGCCUUUUUGUAUGUACUUUAUGAAUAAGGAUCGGCUAACGCCGUUCCAGCAGCCGCGGUAAUACGGAGGGUCCGAGCGUUAGCCGGAUUUAUUGGGUUUAAAGGGAGCGUAGGUGGGUGGUUAAGUGAGUUGUGAAAGUUUGCGGCUCAACCGUAAGAGUGCAAUGGAUUCUGGCAGCCUGGAGUGCAGUUGAGGUAGGCGGAAUUCGUGGUGUAGCGGUGAAAUGCUUAGAUAUCACGAAGAACCCCGAUUGCGAAGGCAGCUUACUAAACUGUUACUGACGUUGAUGCUCGAAAGUGUGGGUAUCAAACAGGAUUAGAUACCCUAGUAGUC
RNAcentral lists this ribosomal RNA (460 nucleotides) under uncultured bacterium. RNAcentral describes it as "partial 16S ribosomal RNA". It matches the Rfam family "Bacterial small subunit ribosomal RNA", at positions 338 to 795 of the family's 1533-position model. The record is from RNAcentral.